UUACUGGUAGGUUAUUUAAACUGGCAAAUUGUGGUUUUGUUGAUUACAUUCUGUUUCUUCGUAUCAGUA
Molecule: transfer RNA, 69 nt
Filed under: Rhinebothrium megacanthophallus
Lineage: Eukaryota; Metazoa; Platyhelminthes; Cestoda; Rhinebothriidea; Rhinebothriidae
Description: tRNA-His
Source: RNAcentral